CCAAGAAGCAUGUUCUUAUCAGUAUGCAAAGUUAUGAAUUAAGACGAAGGUGGCGUGGAGAGGAAAGAAAUUAUUUAUGAGAUCGAGUUGCCAGAACUUUUACUUACGAGUAAAAUUUUGUGAUCAAAGAGACUAGAGAACAGUGGAACAAGGUUCAAUAUUUAUGAGUUGAGUGGGAGGAACUUAUACUUCAUUUUCCGAUGAGAGAGACUAGAGACCAAGGUUGAUUUCAAAGAUUUAGAUUCAUUAUCACAUAUGGAAGUGUGCACCAUUCAUCAUCCAAGCAUGUUGUUAUCAGUAUGUAAAGUGAUGAACUAAGAUGAAAGUGGUGUGGAACGGAAAGCUAUCUUUACGAGAUUGAGUUGCAAGAACUUUUACUUUGAAUUUUGUGAUGAGAGAGACAACAGAACUGUGGAACGCAGUCCAAUAGCUAUGAGUUGAGUUGGAAGAACUUUAAUCCCCUUUUCCGAUGAGAGCAAUAAAAAAAAAAAAUUCAUUUAAACGACUCAGGUUCAUCAUCGGAUGUGGAACUUAGCGCCAUUUACCUCCUAGACAAGUUGCUUUUAGUAUGUAAAGUGUUCAAUCUUCUUAUUUUAAUCUAAAAUUUCUGUUGAGUAUAAUAUGCUUUGGUAAAUUUUGUAUAAACUUAUUUGUUUUUUUAAUUGCUGCGUUGAACCAUUCCAGGUUACCCGGACCGCUUCGCGGUGCAACCCCCCGAAGCGCUUUGCGCCUCAGGCAUUUAGCGUCAAGUACGCAUUACUCGCAUACAUUUUUAUAUUAUAGAGAUAAAGCUAACGAUUUUAAGACACGAUACGUUUGGAAAACCUAACAUGGACAGAAUUGAAAUCAGAAUAGUUUAUCCUAUGAUUUGUUCACUCUGCAGUGAGCCCGUGUUCUCAUCCUACAUUAAUACUACUUUAAUAUUUUAAGUAAAGGGCAAUUUUUUUUAGUACUACUUUAAUCUUUUAAAUGAUGGGCAAUUUUUUUAGUACUACUUUAAUCUUUUAAAUAAUGGGCAAUUUUUUUAGUGUAGUUUCAGUGACAGUGUUGUGAGUGCUUUCAGCCUGGCGUCGGGCAGUUGGAUAACCUACUGCUGAAUCGUCUCCACUGAGCUGUCUACUGCUGAUCGAGUUCAGCACGGCUCCGUGACGGAUAGCCUAAGGAGCGCGCUCUCCCGGCUGCGUCAGCGGACUGCCAAUUCCGGUUCCGGGGACUCCUCCCCAGAUGCCUCUCCAACGCACACACUUACGG
Bemisia tabaci is the source of this 1251-nucleotide non-coding RNA. NCBI's taxonomy places the organism in Eukaryota, Metazoa, Arthropoda, Insecta, Hemiptera, Aleyrodidae. The record is from RefSeq and is a predicted model, not a curated record.